GGGCGUAAAGGGCUCGCAGGCGGUUUCUUAAGUCUGAUGUGAAAGCCCCCGGCUCAACCGGGGAGGGUCAUUGGAAACUGGGGAACUUGAGUGCAGAAGAGGAGAGUGGAAUUCCACGUGUAGCGGUGAAAUGCGUAGAGAUGUGGAGGAACACCAGUGGCGAAGGCGACUCUCUGGUCUGUAACUGACGCUGAGGAGCGAAAGCGUGGGGAGCGAACAGGAUUAGAUACCCUGGUAGUCCACGCCGUAAACGAUGAGUGCUAAGUGUUAGGGGGUUUCCGCCCCUUAGUGCUGCAGCUAACGCAUUAAGCACUCCGCCUGGGGAGUACGGUCGCAAGACUGAAACUCAAAGGAAUUGACGGGGGCCCGCACAAGCGGUGGAGCAUGUGGUUUAAUUCGAAGCAACGCGAAGAACCUUACCAGGUCUUGACAUCCUCUGACAAUCCUAGAGAUAGGACGUCCCCUUCGGGGGCAGAGUGACAGGUGGUGCAUGGUUGUCGUCAGCUCGUGUCGUGAGAUGUUGGGUUAAGUCCCGCAACGAGCGCAACCCUUGAUCUUAGUUGCCAGCAUUCAGUUGGGCACUCUAAGGUGACUGCCGGUGACAAACCGGAGGAAGGUGGGGAUGACGU
Molecule: ribosomal RNA, 629 nt
Filed under: Bacillus mojavensis
Lineage: Bacteria; Bacillati; Bacillota; Bacilli; Caryophanales; Bacillaceae
Description: bacterial SSU rRNA
Rfam family: Bacterial small subunit ribosomal RNA
Source: RNAcentral